RNAcentral lists this ribosomal RNA (252 nucleotides) under uncultured prokaryote. Its description in RNAcentral is "partial 16S ribosomal RNA". It matches the Rfam family "Bacterial small subunit ribosomal RNA", at positions 523 to 774 of the family's 1533-position model. The record is from RNAcentral.
AUACGAAGGGUGCAAGCGUUAAUCGGAAUUACUGGGCGUAAAGCGCGCGUAGGUGGUUCAGUAAGUUGGAAGUGAAAUCCCCGGGCUCAGCCUGGGAACUGCUUUCAAAACUGCUGAGCUAGAGUAUGGCAGAGGGUGGUGGAAUUUCCUGUGUAGCGGUGAAAUGCGUAGAUAUAGGAAGGAACACCAGUGGCGAAGGCGACCACCUGGGCUAAUACUGACACUGAGGUGCGAAAGCGUGGGGAGCAAACA